GACGAACGCUGGCGGCGUGCUUAACACAUGCAAGUCGAACGGAAAGGCCCUGCUUUUGUGGGGUGCUCGAGUGGCGAACGGGUGAGUAACACGUGAGUAACCUGCCCUUGACUUUGGGAUAACUUCAGGAAACUGGGGCUAAUACCGGAUAGGAGCUCCUGCUGCAUGGUGGGGGUUGGAAAGUUUCGGCGGUUGGGGAUGGACUCGCGGCUUAUCAGCUUGUUGGUGGGGUAGUGGCUUACCAAGGCUUUGACGGGUAGCCGGCCUGAGAGGGUGACCGGCCACAUUGGGACUGAGAUACGACCCAGACUACUACGGGAGGCAGCAGUGGGGAAUAUUGCACAAUGGGCGGAAGCCUGAUGCAGCAACGCCGCGUGCGGGAUGACGGCCUUCGGGUUGUAAACCGCUUUCGCCUGUGACGAAGCGUGAGUGACGGUAAUGGGUAAAGAAGCACCGGCUAACUACGUG
This 468-nucleotide ribosomal RNA is filed under the name uncultured bacterium. RNAcentral describes it as "partial 16S ribosomal RNA". It matches the Rfam family "Bacterial small subunit ribosomal RNA", at positions 28 to 507 of the family's 1533-position model. The record is from RNAcentral.